GGACUGGGCUGGCGGGACACCGGUGGGCCCCAACCCUGACUGCUGACCCAUGCCCAUAGCUUCUUCAUGAAUUCUGGACACUCCUCCCCCACCGCCUGAUCACACUUUUAUGAUGUCAUCUCAAUUUAAAACAUUUGGAGCACUCUAGAGCUGGCAUUUAUCUCUUAUAUGAAAAUAUAUUUAACCUGGGCACCCCUGGCACAGGUGCACAGGAAUCUGAAAAUAGCCCAAGACACCGUUGUGAAAUGAAUUGAUGAAGCGUAUCUAUGCCUAAAGUAUUGGAUGCAGACACCAUCUUGACACCAAACGCCAGAAAUGACAGAAUGGAGAAACUGGCCCAUAAGGAUCCACGAUGCCCAGGACUACUGGGAUUCAAAAUAGGCCCAGGCAUUUCCAGUACACAGAGGCGCAAACAGUCUAUGG
Molecule: long non-coding RNA, 423 nt
Organism: Xenopus tropicalis (tropical clawed frog)
Lineage: Eukaryota; Metazoa; Chordata; Amphibia; Anura; Pipidae
Exons: 4
Source: RefSeq, a predicted model, not a curated record